ACUGUGAACUACAGUUUCCUUGUAAAAGAAUGAUGUUCAUGGGGGCCUUAGAGUGGUUGUGAGAAUUAAGUUAUAUGCCAAAAGUAAAUUAUCUAGCACAGCAAAUGGCUGUAAUAGGUAUUCAAUAAAUGUUUUUUUUUUUUUUUUGAGACGGAGUUUCAUUUUGUCACCCAGGCUGGAUUGCAGUGGUGCAAUCUCAGCUCACUGCAACCUCCACCUCUCAGGCUCAAGUGAUUCUCCUGCCUCAGCCUCUGGAGUAGCUGGGAUUACAGGUUGCUGGCAGAGGUGGUUGGGGCUAUGUGCCUGGAGUGAAGAUUCUGCCCAUUGGUCAAGAGACCUCCCUCUCAGAUGCUGGCUCUGCCCCUGCCUUUGGGGGUCGACCCUUGUACU
This 390-nucleotide non-coding RNA is filed under the name Pongo abelii (Sumatran orangutan). Lineage: Eukaryota; Metazoa; Chordata; Mammalia; Primates; Hominidae. The record is from RNAcentral.